Non-coding RNA from Callithrix jacchus (white-tufted-ear marmoset), 705 nucleotides. NCBI's taxonomy places the organism in Eukaryota, Metazoa, Chordata, Mammalia, Primates, Cebidae. The record is from RefSeq and is a predicted model, not a curated record.
GAGAGGCCUUCAAACCACAGAUUUCUUCAUUCCAUUAUACCUUUGAGUAUAUAAAACAGUUGUAAUAUUCCAGGGCCAGUCACUUGCCAUUUCUCCUAACAGCCUCAGAGAGAAAGAACUGACUGAAAAGUUUGAGAUGAAGAAAGUUCUCCUUCUGAUCACAGCCAUCUUGGCAGUGGCUGUUGGUUUCCCAGUCUCUGAAGACCAGGACCGAGAAAAAAGAAGUAUCAGUGACAGCGAUGAUUUAUCUUCAGAGUUUUUAGUGUUCCCUUACCCAUUUCUCCCAUUUCCAUUUCGAGGAUACCAAAGAUAUCCAUGGCUUAGAAAUAAUUUUCCUAUUCCAAUAAGUGAGUCUCGUCUUACAACUCCCCUUCCUGACAAAAAAUUAAACAAGAAGGAAAAGUCAGAAUAAAAUUGAAGAUGAAAUAUGUGGUCACCUAAAAUGAAAUGUGAGCCACUUCCUUGAAGAAUCAAAAUUCCUAUUAACAAAAGAAAAACAAAUGUAAUUGAAAUAGCACACAGCAUUCUCUAGUCAAUAUCUUUAGUGGUCUUGUUUAAUAAACAUGAAAGCAAAUAUCUUGGUUUCUUAAUUUCCACAAAUUCCAUAAUAAACACUCAACUGGUUUUCACUCUUCAGCAAUCCCUGGAGAAGGAAGAGGUAGCAGGCGGUUAUAAAAAUAAACUGCCCUACAGCAUAUGAUGAAA